Non-coding RNA from Macaca mulatta (Rhesus monkey), 298 nucleotides. The record is from RefSeq and is a predicted model, not a curated record. Lineage: Eukaryota; Metazoa; Chordata; Mammalia; Primates; Cercopithecidae.
CCUGGCAACCCCACGUGCUGCGGAUUAGUGCACUUCCGGCGUGGAGCGCACUUUCAGCAGUCUGAUUGCCGAGGGUGAGCUCGCUGGCAGAGGAACUUGCGCCUUCCAACUCUUAGGUUUGUUGCGUUGGGGUCGCAGUCGACUUUAAUGGGAACCAAGCAAGGCAUCCAGUGGCCUCUGCCAUCAGCAUGUUAUGACACAAGAAGGUCCUCACCAGAAGCCAACUGAAUGCCGCACCAUACCCUUGGAAUUCCCAGAAUCCAGAAUUGUAAGAAAUAAAUUAAUUUUCUUUAAAAAA